Molecule: unclassified non-coding RNA, 391 nt
Filed under: Hevea brasiliensis (rubber tree)
Lineage: Eukaryota; Viridiplantae; Streptophyta; Magnoliopsida; Malpighiales; Euphorbiaceae
Source: RNAcentral
GUGAAUCUCACAGCCAAUGUCAGCAUGUCUUUCAGUGGCAAAUCACAAUUAGGUGAACAGAGAUCGCAGACAGUAGUGCUUCAAACAAUCAUCCCUCAAUCACAAUAUGCAGGUUAUCAAACUUCCACAUUUAUAAAACGAAUAUUUUAGGGCUUAAAACAAUAUAAGACAAUUUUCUUUAUACAUUACCCCUUUUCUACAAGAAAAAAAGCACACUAUGAUUUAAAAUUCUUAACAAACUAAGAACACAAGUAAUAUUUUUUAUAGGAACAAAAUGUUACACUUGGCAAGACCAAAAAAAAUUAUUACCUCUACUGGUGACAUGAAACUUAGACGACAUGCUCGCGAGUAAUUUCUACUGUAAAAUAGUCUAGCACUAGUUUCUGGCUCA